CUACGGGGCGCACCAGUGGGGAAUAUUGGACAAUGGGGGAAACCCUGAUCCAGCAAUGCCGCGUGUGUGAAGAAGGCCUGCGGGUUGUAAAGCACUUUCGGUUGGGAGGACUGCUUCUAGCACUAAUAUUGUUGGAAGUUGACGUUACCUUCAGAAGAAGCACCGGCUACACUCCGUGCCAGCAGCCGCGGUAAUACGGAGGGGCAAGCGUUAAUCGGAAUUACUGGGCGUAAAGCGCGCGUAGGCGGCUAGAUCAGUCGGGUGUGAAAGCCCCGGGCUUAACCUGGGAACUGCAUCCGAUACUGUCUAGCUUGAGUACAGGAGAGGAGAGUGGAAUUCCACAUGUAGCGGUGAAAUGCGUAGAUAUGUGGAGGAACACCAAUGGCGAAGGCAGCUCUCUGGCCUGAUACUGACGCUGAGGUGCGAAAGCGUGGGGAGCAAACAGGAUUAGAUACCCGUGUAGUC
RNAcentral lists this ribosomal RNA (465 nucleotides) under uncultured bacterium. RNAcentral's name for it is "partial 16S ribosomal RNA". It matches the Rfam family "Bacterial small subunit ribosomal RNA", at positions 339 to 795 of the family's 1533-position model. The record is from RNAcentral.